AGAGUUUGAUCCUGGCUCAGAAUCAACGCUGGCGGCGUGCCUCAGACAUGCAAGUCGAACGAGAAAGUCCCCUUCGGGGGAUGAGUACAGUGGCGCACGGGUGAGUAACACGUAGGUAAUCUACCUUCGGGUGGGGAAUAACCCAGGGAAACUUGGGCUAACACCGCAUAAUGCAGCGGCACCACAUGGUGACAGUUGUUAAAGCGGGGGAUUUUAGGACCUCGCGCCUGAAGAGGAGCCUGCGGCGGAUUAGCUAGUUGGUAGGGUAACGGCUUACCAAGGCGACGAUCCGUAACCGGCCUGAGAGGGCGGUCGGUCACACUGACACUGACAUACGGGUCAGACUCCUACGGGAGGCAGCAGUCGGGAAUUUUGGGCAAUGGGCGAAAGCCUGACCCAGCAACGCCGCGUGAAGGAUGAAAUCCCUCGGGAUGUAAACUUCGCAAGAAUAGGAAGAAUUAGUAGGGGCUAAUACCCCCUAUGAUGACGGUACUAUUUGUAAGCUCCGGCUAACUCCGUGCCAGCCGCCGCGGUAAUAC
Molecule: ribosomal RNA, 539 nt
Filed under: uncultured bacterium
Lineage: Bacteria
Description: bacterial SSU rRNA
Rfam family: Bacterial small subunit ribosomal RNA
Source: RNAcentral